This is a long non-coding RNA of Bolinopsis microptera, 247 nucleotides long. RefSeq lists it as uncharacterized. The transcript is spliced from 3 exons. NCBI's taxonomy places the organism in Eukaryota, Metazoa, Ctenophora, Tentaculata, Lobata, Bolinopsidae. The record is from RefSeq and is a predicted model, not a curated record.
UAGUAGGUGCUAGCAAUGUCAAAAGUUGGUGUAUGUCGGAUAACAUCAGUGUUUACUAUAAUACUAUUCACAUUAUCUGUUCUUGGAUACUCACAAUAUUACCUAACACCUCUGGAUACGACAAAGUAUCCCAGUGAAGAAAUAACUAUAGCUAUGUUGUAUGUGUUACCAGGGUUACUAGUAUUGCUCUAUUCCCUCCUACUAUCAAACUACAUCCUAUGUAUAAUCAUCAAACCUCAGAUAAUAG